This 211-nucleotide ribosomal RNA is filed under the name uncultured Pseudomonas sp. RNAcentral's name for it is "partial 16S ribosomal RNA". It matches the Rfam family "Bacterial small subunit ribosomal RNA", at positions 1172 to 1380 of the family's 1533-position model. Lineage: Bacteria; Pseudomonadati; Pseudomonadota; Gammaproteobacteria; Pseudomonadales; Pseudomonadaceae. The record is from RNAcentral.
GGUGGGGAUGACGUCAAGUCAUCAUGGCCCUUACGGCCUGGGCUACACACGUGCUACAAUGGUCGGUACAAAGGGUUGCCAAGCCGCGAGGUGGAGCUAAUCCCAUAAAACCGAUCGUAGUCCGGAUCGCAGUCUGCAACUCGACUGCGUGAAGUCGGAAUCGCUAGUAAUCGUGAAUCAGAAUGUCACGGUGAAUACGUUCCCGGGCCAU